AGGCACAUAUCCAGCAGGCAAGCC
RNAcentral lists this non-coding RNA (24 nucleotides) under Arabidopsis thaliana (thale cress). Lineage: Eukaryota; Viridiplantae; Streptophyta; Magnoliopsida; Brassicales; Brassicaceae. The record is from RNAcentral.